GGAGAGAUGGCCGAGUGGUUCAAGGCAUAGCAUUGGAACAACUACAUAGGCUUUUGUUUACCGAGGGUUUGAAUCCUCCUCUUUCCA
Capsicum annuum is the source of this 87-nucleotide non-coding RNA. The record is from Rfam. Lineage: Eukaryota; Viridiplantae; Streptophyta; Magnoliopsida; Solanales; Solanaceae.